GCAACAGCUCAAAUUUGAAAUCUGGCGCAAGCCCGAGUUGUAAUUUGCAGAGGAUGUUUCGGGUGAAGCCACGGUCCAAGUCCCUUGGAACAGGACGUCAUAGAGGGUGAGAACCCCGUACCUGGCCGUCGGUGCCCCCCGCUGUGAAACUCCUUCGACGAGUCGAGUUGUUUGGGAAUGCAGCUCUAAAUUGGUGGUAAAUUCCAUCUAAAGCUAAAUACCGGCCAGAGACCGAUAGCGCACAAGUAGAGUGAUCGAAAGAUGAAAAGCACUUUGAAAAGAGAGUUAAAAAGUACGUGAAAUUGUUGAAAGGGAAGCGCUUGCGGCCAGACUUGCCCGCGGUUGCUCAGCCCGCCUUUUGGCGGGUGCACUCUUCCGCGGUCAGGCCAGCAUCGGUUUGGGCGGCCGGACAAAGGCGUCGGGAACGUGGCCUCCCCUCGGGGAGGUGUUAUAGCCCGGCGCGCAAUGCGACCAGCCCGGACCGAGGUUCGCGCUUUGCUAGGAUGCUGGCGUAAUGGCCGUAAGCGGCCCGUCUUGAAACACGGACCAAGGAGUCUAACAUCUAUGCGAGUGUUUGGGUGUCAAACCCGUGCGCGUAAUGAAAGUGAACGGAGGUGGGAACCGCAAGGUGCACCAUCGACCGAUCCUGAUGUCUUCGGAAGGAUUUGAGUAAGAGCAUAGCUGUUGGGACCCGAAAGAUGGUGAACUAUGCGUGAAUAGGGUGAAGCCAGAGGAAACUCUGGUGGAGGCUCGCAGCGGUUCUGACGUGCAA
This 772-nucleotide ribosomal RNA is filed under the name Venturia martianoffiana. RNAcentral's name for it is "partial large subunit ribosomal RNA". It matches the Rfam family "Eukaryotic large subunit ribosomal RNA", at positions 101 to 896 of the family's 3401-position model. Lineage: Eukaryota; Fungi; Ascomycota; Dothideomycetes; Venturiales; Venturiaceae. The record is from RNAcentral.